GGGCUUGUUUUGGCAGCACUCAUACUAAAAUUGAAUGAUACAGAGAAGAUUAUUAGCAUGGCCCCUGCACAAGGACAAACGGCAAAAUUCCAUAUUUUUUU
This is a small nuclear RNA of Podarcis muralis (Common wall lizard), 101 nucleotides long. The record is from Ensembl. Lineage: Eukaryota; Metazoa; Chordata; Lepidosauria; Squamata; Lacertidae.